RNAcentral lists this long non-coding RNA (2258 nucleotides) under Daucus carota (carrot). Its description in RNAcentral is "long non-coding RNA (DCAR_LNC001628)". The record is from RNAcentral. Lineage: Eukaryota; Viridiplantae; Streptophyta; Magnoliopsida; Apiales; Apiaceae.
CGCUGACCAGACCAACUAUAGUUGCAAACAUGACUAGUGGUACCAUUUGAAUUGCUUUCUUUUUGUUUAUCGGAUGCUUCAAAAAGACCAUGACGCAGUAAAAUUCUAGGUAAAAGACAUCUCAUGUCACCUUUCUGCAUAAGAAAUUAAGUUUUCAAUGACUAUGCUAUAUUUCAUACGACUGUGAGGCCUAAGGAGUAGAUAUUAGCAGACAGACUUUCUAAACAUUAGUUCUUAUGAGACAAAUCAGAUACAAAUAAUAAAUGCUUAUAUUUGACAAUCACAUGAGAAGUANGAAAAGUCUGGUGAGCUGCUUUUGCCCACGUCGAUAUAUAAUACUUGCCCAUUUGUUCCUACUAAAUGUCGUUUCAUCAGCUGAGAUAUUGGCACCAUUGCUGUCAAGAAUAAUAAGACUUUAGUGACCAAAGAUAGCAUAUGCCACAAGUUGGUUAAAAGGUGAAUUCAUGUGUUGCCAAGUUCCUACUAAAUGUAUAAAGAAUGUGCAUGACAUCAAACACACAUAGCCCAAGUCUAUAUCAAUCCAGUCAUAAUGUUUACAAGUUCUUGAAGACAUGACAACACAAAUUGCAAUCUUGUUAAGAGAUCUUAAAUUCAUCUGAACACUAAAAUAUGCAUGCUUGAGUAUUUUUAUUUUUUUUUAAAGAAAUUAUUCUAAAGUUUGGCCGACUGCCUAGUUCAAUCAGGGGGAAUCUACUUUAUGUAGGAUAUCAAGCAAGAUAAUCGGAAGUCGUAAAAAAGAGAAUGGAAAAGACGCCUUGAUUGCCUUGAAUACUCCGGAAAAACAAGUUUUGCCAAAGAAAAGUGAGCCUAAACCUAUCAACCCGCGAGUCCAGGAACACGUUUACAGUCAUCAGCAUGUAAAUAAUUUUUUAUUAAGUCUUGCAGAAAGUGUUUGGAUUUCGGAACUAGACAAGCAGACUUAAGAAGAUAAUAUGUAACUUAUUAAACUAAUUAUCCAGAAGAACAUUAUGUUACGAUAAAAUUACAUUAAAAAAUACGGACUGGUGGAAUCGAUGCCAAAAAGAUGUUUGAGUAUCAUAGUUAUUAGUUAAUAUUCACCUUAAGCCUAUCUAGGGUUUACAGAUAGGAACGAUAUAUAUCUCUUUAAAGCUAAAAAUUGACUCACUUGAAGCAUUCUUUUGAGUUAUUGGCCUUCUGAAGCAAUUCAGUGUCAGCGUCCUCUGUCCCAGAAGCCUCUUCAAGAUCCAUCAUUCUAACAUUCAACAAAAAUUUAAACAAGCAAAUAUAUAAUGUCGCAAAUAUAUCUGGAAAAGAAGAAACCUGUACACAUUUAACAAAAGAUAAUAGCGCCAUCAAUCAUAAAUCAGGUGGUAAAGUAAAAGAAAGCAACAUCCUUCUCUUUUCUUUUUUUUUUGAACUAUCAAUAACACUAGUGAUAACCACUUAUCAUUUGAAAGCCACUACUAUGACACAUAAUUUAUCCGGUGUUGCGGUUAAUAGAAGAGAUUUUUUUAGUAAAUGGUCUUUUCUAACUGUUACUUCAUAUUAAGAAGAUCGACGAGAAGUUGCAAAGCUCCAGAAUCACCACAAGCUUCCCAUAUAGCACCUUGAACUUCGGUAUCAGAUGGUUGCCUCUCCCCCCCGGAACCAACUAGCUGUGUAAGAGGAAAAUCAGUCACAUUCAACAAUCAAUACGACCAUAAAAUUCCUUUGGCAUUACAUCCAUGAACCAAAAACUAUUAAACAGAGCACGACUGCCUAUAAAUUUCGUUGUUUAAUAACUAAUGUGAAGUAGCCAAUAUGUACCUCGAUAUAAUUCAGGGAAAAUAGAAUCCUAGCAAUCAAAGUAGUACUAAUUUGUAAGCUAAUGGCUUACUGGUAUUCUCAACUACUAACCACCGAUUCUCUAUUAAAGGAGAAGAUACAGGGAUCUGAUUACCUCCGUGAGUAAUGAUGAAACACGAUGUAUGUCCUCUUCUUGCAUAGCUAUAGUCCUCAACGAAGCCAUGAAUUUCUCGGGAAAAACAAGUUUGCCAAUGUAAGAUGGCAGCUUGCGCUGACCAGACCAACUAUAGUUGCAAACAUGACUAGUGGUACCAUUUGAAUUGCUUUCUUUUUGUUUAUCGGAUGCUUCAAAAAGACCAUGACGCAGUAAAAUUCUAGGUAAAAGACAUCUCAUGUCACCUUUCUGCAUAAGAAAUUAAGUUUUCAAUGACUAUGCUAUAUUUCAUACGACUGUGAGGCCUAAGGAGUAGAUAUUAGCAGACAGACUUUCU